RNAcentral lists this ribosomal RNA (254 nucleotides) under uncultured bacterium. RNAcentral's name for it is "partial 16S ribosomal RNA". It matches the Rfam family "Bacterial small subunit ribosomal RNA", at positions 524 to 776 of the family's 1533-position model. The record is from RNAcentral.
UACGUAGGGUGCGAGCGUUGUCCGGAAUUAUUGGGCGUAAAGAGCUUGUAGGCGGUUUGUCGCGUCUGCCGUGAAAGCCCAGGGCUUAACCCUGGGUCUGCGGUGGGUACGGGCAGACUAAAGUGUGGUAGGGGAGACUGGAAUUCCUGGUGUAGCGGUGAAAUGCGCAGAUAUCAGGAGGAACACCGGUGGCGAAGGCGGGUCUCUGGGCCGAUACUGACGCUGAGGAGCGAAAGCGUGGGGGAGCGAACAGG